GAUGAACGCUAGCUACAGGCUUAACACAUGCAAGUCGAGGGGUAACGAGAGGAAAGCUUGCUUUCCUUGUCGACGACCGGCGCACGGGUGAGUAACGCGUAUCCAACCUGCCCCCAACUAGGGAAUAACCUUGCGAAAGUAUGACUAAUACCCUAUAAUUUCCUCAGAUGACAUCUGAAGAGGAAUAAAGAUUUAUCGGUUGUGGAUGGGGAUGCGUCUGAUUAGCUUGUUGGCGGGGUAACGGCCCACCAAGGCAACGAUCAGUAGGGGUUCUGAGAGGAAGGUCCCCCACAUUGGAACUGAGACACGGUCCAAACUCCUACGGGAGGCAGCAGUGAGGAAUAUUGGUCAAUGGGCGGAAGCCUGAACCAGCCAAGUAGCGUGCAGGAUGACGGCCCUAUGGGUUGUAAACUGCUUUUAUACAGGAAUAAAGUUAGCCACGUGUGGUUAUUUGUAGGUACUGUAUGAAUAAGGACCGGCUAAUUCCGUGCCAGCAGCCGCAGUAA
This 506-nucleotide ribosomal RNA is filed under the name uncultured bacterium. RNAcentral describes it as "partial 16S ribosomal RNA". It matches the Rfam family "Bacterial small subunit ribosomal RNA", at positions 28 to 523 of the family's 1533-position model. The record is from RNAcentral.